CAAGUCGAACGCCGUAGCAAUACGGAGUGGCAGACGGGUGAGUAACACGUGGGAACGUGCCCUUUGGUUCGGAACAACACAGGGAAACUUGUGCUAAUACCGGAUAAGCCCUUACGGGGAAAGAUUUAUCGCCGAAGGAUCGGCCCGCGUCUGAUUAGCUAGUUGGUGGGGUAACGGCCCACCAAGGCUACGAUCAGUAGCUGGUCUGAGAGGAUGAUCAGCCACACUGGGACUGAGACACGGCCCAGACUCCUACGGGAGGCAGCAGUUAGGAAUCUUGGACAAUGGGCGCAAGCCUGAUCCAGCCAUGCCGCGUGAGUGAUGAAGGCCUUAGGGUUGUAAAGCUCUUUCAGCGGGGAAGAUAAUGACGGUACCCGCAGAAGAAGCCCCGGCUAACUUCGUGCCAGCAGCCGCGGUAAUACGAAGGGGGCUAGCGUUGCUCGGAAUCACUGGGCGUAAAGCGCACGUAGGCGGGUCUUUAAGUCAGGGGUGAAAUCCUGGAGCUCAACUCCAGAACUGCCUUUGAUACUGAGGAUCUCGAGUCCGGGAGAGGUGAGUGGAACUCCGAGUGUAGAGGUGAAAUUCGUAGAUAUUCGGAAGAACACCAGUGGCGAAGGCGGCUCACUGGCCCGGUACUGACGCUGAUGUGCGAAAGCGUGGGGAGCAAACAGGAUUAGAUACCCUGGUAGUCCACGCCGUAAACGAUGGAUGCUAGCCGUUGGCGGGUUUACUCGUCAGUGGCGCAGCUAACGCAUUAAGCAUCCCGCCUGGGGAGUACGGUCGCAAGAUUAAAACUCAA
This 799-nucleotide ribosomal RNA is filed under the name uncultured Hyphomicrobiaceae bacterium. RNAcentral's name for it is "bacterial SSU rRNA". It matches the Rfam family "Bacterial small subunit ribosomal RNA", at positions 58 to 904 of the family's 1533-position model. The record is from RNAcentral. Lineage: Bacteria; Pseudomonadati; Pseudomonadota; Alphaproteobacteria; Hyphomicrobiales; Hyphomicrobiaceae.